AACGCUGGUUCCGUGCUUAAGGAUGCAAGUGGAGCGACNAACCAGGCUUCGGCCUGGGGCAGAUCNGCGAACGGGUGAGUAACAAGUGGGUAACCCACCCCGAUGACCGGGACAACCCGAGGAAACUCGGGCUAAUACCGGAUGUACUCCUCUCCCAUGAGGGAGUUGAGGAAAGAUAGCUUCGGCCUUCGCAUCGGGACGGGCCCGCGGCGCAUUAGCUUGUUGGUGGGGUAAAGGCCUACCAAGGCGACGAUGCGUAGCUGGUCUGAGAGGACGAUCAGCCACACUGGGACUGAGACACGGCCCAGACUCCUACGGGAGGCAGCAGUGG
RNAcentral lists this ribosomal RNA (331 nucleotides) under uncultured Solirubrobacter sp. RNAcentral describes it as "bacterial SSU rRNA". It matches the Rfam family "Bacterial small subunit ribosomal RNA", at positions 32 to 358 of the family's 1533-position model. Lineage: Bacteria; Bacillati; Actinomycetota; Thermoleophilia; Solirubrobacterales; Solirubrobacteraceae. The record is from RNAcentral.